Molecule: ribosomal RNA, 253 nt
Filed under: uncultured bacterium
Lineage: Bacteria
Description: partial 16S ribosomal RNA
Rfam family: Bacterial small subunit ribosomal RNA
Source: RNAcentral
UACGAAGGGGGCUAGCGUUGCUCGGAAUCACUGGGCGUAAAGCGCACGUAGGCGGAUCUUUAAGUCAGGGGUGAAAUCCCAAGGCUCAACCUUGGAACUGCCUUUGAUACUGGGGAUCUCGAGUCCGGAAGAGGUUGGUGGAACUCCGAGUGUAGAGGUGAAAUUCGUAGAUAUUCGGAAGAACACCAGUGGCGAAGGCGGCCAACUGGUCCGGCACUGACGCUGAGGUGCGAAGGCGUGGGGAGCAAACAGG